GACGAACGCUGGCGGCGUGCCUAAUACAUGCAAGUCGAACGCUUCUUUCCUCCCGAGUGCUUGCACUCCAUUGGAAAGAGGAGUGGCGGACGGGUGAGUAACACGUGGGUAACCUACCCAUCAGAGGGGGAUAACACUUGGAAACAGGUGCUAAUACCGCAUAACAGUUUAUGCCGCAUGGCAUAAGAGUGAAAGGCGCUUUCGGGUGUCGCUGAUGGAUGGACCCGCGGUGCAUUAGCUAGUUGGUGAGGUAACGGCUCACCAAGGCCACGAUGCAUAGCCGACCUGAGAGGGUGAUCGGCCACACUGGGACUGAGACACGGCCCAGACUCCUACGGGAGGCAGCAGUAGGGAAUCUUCGGCAAUGGACGAAAGUCUGACCGAGCAACGCCGCGUGAGUGAAGAAGGUUUUCGGAUCGUAAAACUCUGUUGUUAGAGAAGAACAAGGACGUUAGUAACGGAACGUCCCCUGACGGUAUCUAACCAGAAAGCCACGGCUAACUACGUGC
Molecule: ribosomal RNA, 509 nt
Filed under: uncultured bacterium
Lineage: Bacteria
Description: partial 16S ribosomal RNA
Rfam family: Bacterial small subunit ribosomal RNA
Source: RNAcentral